UAGCAGUUCAUUGCUUUUGUGGAUUUUAAUGUCUGACUUCUUGACUGGAUGCUUCUGGAGCCCAUGUGGACUGUGUCAUAUUCAUGUUAUUAUCUGUCAAGAAAAUCGCCACAUGGCAGAAGCCCUGGGUGCCAUUCACAAAGUACAUGGACCAGCACCCAGCACAGUGCCUGUGAAGGGUGUAUAUGCCGCCUGGAAAGAAACACACACAGAGAAAGGAUUGAAAUGUUAUUGCAUGUCUUCAUCCUCAUGCAAGGAGCCCAGAAAGAAUGUACAGCAAAAGUGAAGCCCCGUGCCUUGGUGGGCACCCUCCUGUGGCUUCCAGAUGUUACAGGUCUUGUUGAGGAUGAAGCUGGGGCUGGCUAUGGCUGCUCAUCCUUUUCUGCAUGCAAAACCAUGCUGUCAUCGCACUCAGCCUCCAGUCUACAAAAUAAUGAGGACUCCUUUAUGUGUGCCUUAGUCUAAAUGUAUUUGGAGCAUCAGCACCUUCAAAAACCCUUGCCUGCUGCCUGUGGGCCACGUUGGGAUUCUCACCCUCGCUGAGGCUCUGCAGGGUGGGAUAUAGGGGAGAGAGCAGACAUUGGAAACUGGCCAGGGGACUUCACAGGCCCAACAAAGAAUUUUUUAAAAGAGUUGAUUUGGUAAUAGGCAAAGGGGAAUUCCAUGGAUAAAUAAUAAUUUAUGCAAGGAAUGCCAUCUGCUUCUCUGGUGAAGCAUUAGUGUGUAAUUGCAGGCGCAAUUUCCUUCUAUUCCUUGCCCUUUACCAUUCAGCUCUUUAAGUAAUUAUAUUGACACCUCCUGAGCUGACUGUUUGGGUGGGUGGAGAGGCAUGGAGUGCCCAGCUUGAAUGUUGGCUGAAGAUAGUUUACCAUAAAACCAAAAUACUUAAUCGGAAUGCAUUAGAGGAUUAAGCACUAAAUAAGAGCAUAUUGGCAUUCUGGCCAGUAUAUCUGAAUGCUGUGCUGAUAAUUAAUAAAAAUUGGCUUCACUGGAGAUAUAAAAUUCUAAAUUAAAUUUGGUCUUUGAACAACAAAAAAAAUCUGCUAUGGGGUUCUCUAAUUAGAUUAGGAAUCGAAA
This is a long non-coding RNA of Tupaia belangeri chinensis (Chinese tree shrew), 1077 nucleotides long. RefSeq lists it as uncharacterized. The transcript has 3 exons. NCBI's taxonomy places the organism in Eukaryota, Metazoa, Chordata, Mammalia, Scandentia, Tupaiidae. The record is from RefSeq and is a predicted model, not a curated record.